This 581-nucleotide ribosomal RNA is filed under the name uncultured bacterium. Its description in RNAcentral is "bacterial SSU rRNA". It matches the Rfam family "Bacterial small subunit ribosomal RNA", at positions 919 to 1503 of the family's 1533-position model. The record is from RNAcentral.
GCCCGCACAAGCGGUGGAUUAUGUGGUUUAAUUCGAUGCAACGCGAAGAACCUUACCAGGGCUUGACAUCCUGCUAACGAGGUAGAGAUACGUCAGGUGCCCUUCGGGGAAAGCAGAGACAGGUGGUGCAUGGUUGUCGUCAGCUCGUGUCGUGAGAUGUUGGGUUAAGUCCCGCAACGAGCGCAACCCUUAUUGUUAGUUGCUACGCAAGAGCACUCUAGCGAGACUGCCGUUGACAAAACGGAGGAAGGUGGGGACGACGUCAAAUCAUCAUGCCCCUUAUGUCCUGGGCUACACACGUAAUACAAUGGCGGUAAACAGAGGGAUGCAAAACUGCGAAGUGGAGCGAACCCCUAAAAGCCGUCCCAGUUCAGAUUGCAGUCUGCAACUCGACUGCAUGAAGUCGGAAUCGCUAGUAAUCGCGGAUCAGCAUGCCGCGGUGAAUACGUUCCCGGGCCUUGUACACACCGCCCGUCACACCAUGAGAGUCGGGAACACCCGAAGUCCGUAGCCUAACCGCAAGGAGGGCGCGGCCGAAGGUGGGUUCGAUAAUUGGGGUGAAGUCGUAACAAGGUAGCCGU